RNAcentral lists this ribosomal RNA (425 nucleotides) under uncultured bacterium. RNAcentral describes it as "bacterial SSU rRNA". It matches the Rfam family "Bacterial small subunit ribosomal RNA", at positions 355 to 797 of the family's 1533-position model. The record is from RNAcentral.
UCGGGAAUUUUGGGCAAUGGGCGAAAGCCUGACCCAGCAACGCCGCGUGAAGGAUGAAGUAUUUCGGUAUGUAAACUUCGAAAGAAUAGGAAGAAUAAAUGACGGUACUAUUUAUAAGGUCCGGCUAACUACGUGCCAGCAGCCGCGGUAAUACGUAGGGACCAAGCGUUGUUCGGAUUUACUGGGCGUAAAGGGCGCGUAGGCGGCAAUUCAAGUCAUCUGUGAAAUCUCCGGGCUUAACUCGGAACGGUCAGAUGAUACUGCUUUGCUAGAGUGCAGAAGGGGCAAUCGGAAUUCUUGGUGUAGCGGUGAAAUGCGUAGAUAUCAAGAGGAACACCUGAGGUGAAGACGGGUUGCUGGGCUGACACUGACGCUGAGGCGCGAAAGCCAGGGGAGCAAACGGGAUUAGAUACCCCGGUAGUCCC